Long non-coding RNA from Ailuropoda melanoleuca (giant panda), 1766 nucleotides. RefSeq lists it as uncharacterized. NCBI's taxonomy places the organism in Eukaryota, Metazoa, Chordata, Mammalia, Carnivora, Ursidae. The transcript is spliced from 4 exons. The record is from RefSeq and is a predicted model, not a curated record.
AAACGUAACCAGACAUGUAUGUCUUUGCUAACUAGGGAAAACUGCCCACGACACACGAUUGAGAGCAUGUUACUGGUGUCGAAGUACCAAUUAAGGCCGGCCUUCUCUCUGGACCCAAAGACACUUAACGGGACAACUGACUUUCUGAAUGGCUGCCCUGAGUCCAAAACAAGGCUUAUGGAAAAAUAAUACCAAAAUCACAGAAGAAGGAUACAAAAUUUAAUGACCUCUAUUUUUGAGGGCAAGUGUGGAGAUUGGUGAUUUGCUGGAUGUUUUUUUUUUUAUAAAAAAUACUUUCCAAAUUUUCUGCAUGGAACAUGUGUUACUCGUGUAACAUUCAAAGGUGAAAGACCUAGGCAAAGAAACUGCAUUCACAAGGAUCCCACUUUGGGAACUCGCAAGUGUCGGGAAGGGGCCACAGCGGAGAAGCCUCGUUCCUAACUCACGCCAGUCACCUCACUUAUCCAAUGCAGGAGACAACGCAUCCCAAGUAAACAGCAUUCAUCGCUCGGCACAGUAACUACUGUGCCCCAGCCUCGCAGCACAAUGGCACAGUGAUUGUGGCUGUGACAGCAAGAUCCCGACUAAGAACACAAUCAGCAUCUAUUGCAAGAAAGAAUGCUCGACAUUGUCCUUUGGUGUGGAGGGUUUUAAGAAGAGGGAGGAGAAUCAUCACGGGGGCAAGCUAACAAAACAACAACGUGAGACCAGGGCUGGAGGCUGUGGUGGGGGAGGAGAGGGGAGAGGGGCGGAAGACAUGACAUCCUAUUUGUUCUUCACUACAGAGCUGAAGGAUUACAUGAAUUUUAACAGGAAGCAUUUAUUAUGGUGGGUUUUUUAGUUUUUGAGGAAAAUUCUACACCCCAGUGUGGCGCUUGAACCCACACCCCAAGAUCAAGAGCCGCAUGGUCUACUGAGCAAGCCAGCCAGAUGCCCCCCAGGAAGCAACCUUAUAGAGCAUAAAACAAAAGAAACUUCGAAAGGGCAAUUUUAUCUUUUUCAGUCAAUUAAUUUAAUGGACUUUUCAUAUGAGGAUGGUAAGUUAUUUGAGAGGCUCAGUGACAAUUGCAAUGACCCUAAAAACGCAGUAUGGCAAUGUUGCUAAAAGAGAAAACGGGUAAUGAAGUUCUGAACAACAGUUACGUUUCCCUACUUUGCUCCACUGCAAAGUUCUACCUGUAAACGAAGCGCUUCUCAAACUUGGAGGUGGCGUGGACUCCGUAACGUUUUGUUCUACUCCAAGCCCUCUAAUAGCAGGGCUGGGCCCAAACACCAGGACACACUGAAGGUGUUCAUUCCCAAAUCCCUUAAGCUGGACUGCCUCCCAGGACACUUUUUCCGCAUGCUCUCUGUAGUCCUACUGCAACUUCCUGAUCGAGAUGUUGGCCACCUCACACCAGAUGGACACCAUCUACUCCUCAACGAACCCGUAGCCACCGCCACCGGCCAGCCUGCUCUGAACACCGACCACAGCUGUGUCCACCGGAUACUACUGAAACUAUUACUCUCUUCCACUAAAGGGCCGCAGUGGCUCUUCACAGCACACGGGAUCUGGAAGGCCCUCAGGAUCAUCUCGCCAGGACCCUCCCCCCCACGCUGGGCCCUCCUGCCCACCUCUAGCGUUUCCAGCUCCCUUGCUAACACACUCGGACAGCAAAACCUUCUAUGUUACCUCCCUCCUCUAACAAGCGUCUUCUGCUGAAGUAGAUCCGAUGAGGUACUAAUGUGUGGACUGGUCCCUCAUCUUUCUGCCAAAAUAGUGUCUA